AUAAUGGGCUGAAGAUUACUGUGCUCUACUUUUGCUGGCUAUUUUCCUGAGAAAAGUAUUCUAUUUAUGGCACAUGUUGACACAGCUGAUUCCAAUUUUCCUUCCAGGAGUAGCCUGCCAUACUGCUGUAUGUAAAAGCAAUCAUGCCAGGGUUUUGUUUCAGAGACCCCCAGCCUAUGGGCCCUCUCUGUGGUCUGGGGAAGCAAUCCUUGUUUCAUUUGCCUGUUUGUCCUCAGCUUCCUCAGCAGAUGUCCCCAGAACCAUCACUGGGGUCAUGGCCAAGAAUAAUACUGAGAGGGAGACAAUGCUUGUCCAGCUUAAGAACUUGUUCUCCACCCACUAUUCUGGAAUAGGAGAGUCCACACAUGGAGUUAAUCAGGGGAAGUGGGAUAAAUCCUUUGCCUACAACUAA
Molecule: long non-coding RNA, 412 nt
Filed under: Parus major (Great Tit)
Lineage: Eukaryota; Metazoa; Chordata; Aves; Passeriformes; Paridae
Description: lncRNA (ENSPMJG00000015893.1)
Source: RNAcentral